This 869-nucleotide small RNA is filed under the name Pongo abelii (Sumatran orangutan). RNAcentral describes it as "retained intron". Lineage: Eukaryota; Metazoa; Chordata; Mammalia; Primates; Hominidae. The record is from RNAcentral.
UGUGGUGCUAGUUUUUCUAAGCCAUCCAGUGCCAUCCUCGUCGCUGCAGCGACACACGCGCUCGCCGCCGCCAUGACUGAGCAGAUGACCCUUCGUGGCACCCUCAAGGGCCACAACGGCUGGGUAACCCAGAUCGCUACUACUCCGCAGUUCCCGGACAUGAUCCUCUCCGCCUCUCGAGAUAAGACCAUCAUCAUGUGGAAACUGACCAGGGAUGAGACCAACUAUGGAAUUCCACAGCGUGCUCUGCGGGGUCACUCCCACUUUGUUAGUGAUGUGGUUAUCUCCUCAGAUGGCCAGUUUGCCCUCUCAGGAUCCUGGGAUGGAACCCUGCGCCUCUGGGAUCUCACAACGGGCACCACCACGAGGCGAUUUGUGGGCCAUACCAAGGAUGUGCUGAGUGUGGCCUUCUCCUCUGACAACCGGCAGAUUGUCUCUGGAUCUCGAGAUAAAACCAUCAAGCUAUGGAAUACCCUGGGUGUGUGCAAAUACACUGUCCAGGCUGGAAUGCAGUAGUGCGAUCUCGGCUCACUGCAAGCUCUGCCUCCCGGGUUCAUGCCAUUCUCCUACCUCAGCCUCCCGAGUAGCUGGGACUACAGGCGCCUGCCAUCACGAUGAGAGCCACUCAGAGUGGGUGUCUUGUGUCCGCUUCUCACCCAACAGCAGCAACCCUAUCAUCGUCUCCUGCGGCUGGGACAAGCUGGUCAAGGUGAGCUUCAAGCCAAGGCAGGGGCUUUACCAGUCAGGGUGUGCUCCCAGGUGGUCAUACACUCCAAGUCCUGUGGAAAGCUUUACAGAUUCCCUCAGUUGACUCUUUCUCUUGUCACAUGGUCUGAUGUCCCUUGUAAGCACACUGCAUUGGAUAUGUG